This 1626-nucleotide ribosomal RNA is filed under the name Triticum aestivum (bread wheat). Its description in RNAcentral is "partial small subunit ribosomal RNA". The record is from RNAcentral. Lineage: Eukaryota; Viridiplantae; Streptophyta; Magnoliopsida; Poales; Poaceae.
AUGUAUGAACUGGCCCCUCGCUCAGUUAUGUUUGCUACCUUCGUGAAUUGCUCGCAGGAGGUCAGGAACAAUAGUCCCUACUUACCGGUUGCUUGCCGCAGCACGAGCUCCUCUUUUGUUUAUGUGCUGAUUGGUGAUCCCACUGACAUUUUCGCCCUCAAGCCUUCCUGUGGAUACCUGGCUAUGACUAUUUUGGAAGGCGAGAGAUCGCCAUAUUAUGCAAAUUAUGGAGAUGUCGUGGAAUCCAUGAGAAACGGAUUUGCAGUUAGUUUUCCGCAAGAUCUUGGAACAAGCUUUGGACCCUUGCCGUUGCUCAGUAUUGGCAAAUUAAUCAGUGCACUGAAGUCUAGAAGGUAUACGUGGGAAAAGAUUUUGGAUCUUUUGCUAACUCGUUUGUUUCCUCGUAUACCUGGAAAAUAUGCAUAUGCAGCAAUUCCCAUGUGGAUUGCCCAGUGGAUUGCAAUAACCGCUGUACUAUGCAGGUUCAUGCUGCCGCCACUGGUGGUAUUGACUUUCCUUGCCUACAAGUACUGGAGAACAAGGAUAACAAUUGAUGCAGUCGAGAAGUUCUUGCGGAUGCAACAAAUGGUGGGCCCAAUCAGGUACAGCUACACUGACAUCACCGCAGUGACAAGGCAUUUCAGAGAUAAAUUGGGCCAAGGGGGCUAUGGCUCAGUCUACAAAGGUGUUCUUCUCCCAGGAGAUAUCCAUGUUGCUGUUAAGAUGCUAGCAGGUAGCUCCAAUUGCAACGGAGAAGAUUUUAUAAGUGAGGUCUCCACCAUUGGCAGGAUCCACCAUGUCAACGUGGUCCAUCUCAUGGGGUUCUGCUCGGAGGAAAUGAGAAGGGCCCUAAUCUAUGAGUACAUGCCUAAUGGUUCUCUUGACAAAUACAUCUUUUCGUCGGAGAGGAGCUUCUCUUGGGACAAGCUCAAUGAGAUUGCUUUGGGGAUUGCGAGGGGUAUCAACUACCUGCAUCAGGGGUGCGACAUGCAGAUUUUGCACUUCGACAUCAAGCCGCACAACAUUCUUCUCGAUACCAAUUUGGUUCCCAAAGUUGCUGAUUUCGGCCUGGCCAAACUGUACCCAAGGGAUGACAGCUUUGUGCCGUUGAGUGCUAUGCGGGGAACCAUUGGGUACAUAGCUCCUGAGAUGGUAUCUCGGAGCUUUGGUGUGGUAUCAAGCAAAUCUGAUGUUUACAGCUUCGGAAUGCUGCUACUGGAAAUGGCAGGAGGACGCCGGAAUGCUGACCCGAAUGCAUCAAACUCAAGCCAGGCGUACUACCCGUCCUGGGUGUACGACAGGCUAACAAGGCAACAAGAAGUGGGUGAGAUAUCCGCGGCAGAUGAGAUGCACGAGUUGGAGAGGAAGCUUUGUCUCGUUGGGCUAUGCUGCAUCCAGAUGAAGUCUCACGAUCGGCCGACGAUGAGCGAGGCCAUAGAGAUGCUCGAAGGUGGCGUUGAAGGCCUGCAUGUGCCUUCCAGGCCAUUCUUCUGUGACGAUGAGCACGCCCCUGUAGCUGCGGAUUCUCACCACGUCUUCUCUGAGCUGACUGCUCUGUCGGAGGAUGAUGAGUUUGAUGAUGCUUCUACGCAAGACAACAGCGCUGGUCUUAGAAAUGCAGAGUAG